UAUUGUUGACUGGGACGGAGAGCAGUUGGUGUGCGAACAGCGUGGAGAGAAACGGAAUCGGGGCUGGAAACAUUGGCUCGAAGGGGACCAGCUGCAUUUGCGCAUGACUGCAGAGGAUGAAGUCUGUGUCCAAGUUUUCCAGAAAGUGAAGUGACAGGAACCCACCUGCCAACCCAGUGUCUACCUGAUACCAAGCACUGACUUCAGGAUACAGCAGAACCCCAGAGAGGAAGGUUGUCCAUUCCUCACAACAUGCCCCAAACCUUUGUUUUUGAAAUAAAAUUAUCCGUUGUCUCCGUGUCA
Molecule: long non-coding RNA, 303 nt
Organism: Heteronotia binoei (common prickly gecko)
Lineage: Eukaryota; Metazoa; Chordata; Lepidosauria; Squamata; Gekkonidae
Exons: 2
Source: RefSeq, a predicted model, not a curated record